Nomascus leucogenys (northern white-cheeked gibbon) is the source of this 694-nucleotide long non-coding RNA. RefSeq lists it as uncharacterized. Lineage: Eukaryota; Metazoa; Chordata; Mammalia; Primates; Hylobatidae. The record is from RefSeq and is a predicted model, not a curated record. The transcript has 3 exons.
UCUCCCUCUCCCCCUCUUCCCUCCCCCGUUGGUGUUUCUUCCAGCUCAGCCUCCUUCUCAUUCCAUCUCUACGUGCCCAGAGCUUCAAAUACAACCCUCCCAUCACAGUCAGACGGGCACAAAACUUCAACCAGCCGUUUCUCUGCCUGGAAGCGGCGAACAUGUAACCUGGACGGGCACGAGAGAAGAUGAAGGGGAAAGGAGCGAACUCCAGAGUCUUAGAGAGGCAGUACGACGGGUUCUCGCACCAACCAGCACUUUCUGUGUGGAGUCUCACCUCUUGUAACCCUGAGUGCAAAAAUACCAGGAACAAGCUGACUUCCCACCUGGCAGAACAGAAUGCUAAACAGGCCGACCUCUUUAGGAAUCUGGUGAAAGCCACAAACCCUCUCUCUAGAAAAGCACACACAAACAUAACAUUUUGCAAUUCACUUUCAAGAGCCCCAGGUUCCCAUAAAGAGACUUAAGAACCUUGAUAGUAGAGAGCAAGUUCUUCAAGGGCCAGGCCCAUAUCCUAGUCCUCCUUCCUUCCUUCCUCCUCCACCUCCUCAGUCCCUCCCUUGAAUGCUUCCCGAUUCUAUUCCAAAAUGCUCAGACAAGUCUAGACCACAGCCUUGCACUGCAUCUCUCCUAGGGAGGAUGGUGUGACCACAGAGACCCUGGGCCCACCUGGGGGAGCCCUGAGUUCCCCUGG